UACGGAGGGUGCGAGCGUUAAUUGGAAUUACUGGGCGUAAAGCGUACGUAGGCGGUUGGGUAAGUCGGAUGUGAAAGCCCUGGGCUUAACCUGGGAACUGCAUUCGAUACUGCUCGGCUAGAGUAUGGGAGAGGGAAGCGGAAUUUCCGGUGUAGCGGUGAAAUGCGUAGAUAUCGGAAGGAACACCAAUGGCGAAGGCAGCUUCCUGGCCCAAUACUGUCGCUCAGGUGCGAAAGCGUGGGGAUCAAACAGG
RNAcentral lists this ribosomal RNA (253 nucleotides) under uncultured bacterium. Its description in RNAcentral is "partial 16S ribosomal RNA". It matches the Rfam family "Bacterial small subunit ribosomal RNA", at positions 524 to 776 of the family's 1533-position model. The record is from RNAcentral.